Molecule: non-coding RNA, 85 nt
Organism: Mycena filopes
Lineage: Eukaryota; Fungi; Basidiomycota; Agaricomycetes; Agaricales; Mycenaceae
Source: the annotation of a GenBank genome assembly
GCCACCGUAGUCCAGCGGUGAAAUCCCUGCUUUCCAAAAUAAAACGGAAGCAGGUGCCGGGGGGGGAUCAAUCCUCCCGGUGGCA